This 1058-nucleotide long non-coding RNA is filed under the name Gadus morhua (Atlantic cod). RNAcentral's name for it is "lncRNA (ENSGMOG00000036128.1)". The record is from RNAcentral. Lineage: Eukaryota; Metazoa; Chordata; Actinopteri; Gadiformes; Gadidae.
AUUACCUUUACAUCCUAUCUUUACAUCCUUACUAUCCUUACAUUACAACUAUCUUCAAAUUCUAACUAUCUUUACAUCAUAACUGCCUAUACUCAUCUCUCUCUACAUCCCACAUCCUAACUAUUGUACUGAAGGACGUCCUAGGAAUGCAUUGUUUUGACUGUCUUGUCUGGGGGGAGGGACCUAAGGGAGGAGCAGGUUGUAACGUGCGCGUUUGGCUGAACCCAAGUGCACAGGCUGGCGACGAGCGUGGAACAGAGUCAAUAGUUUAUUUCGUAGACAGGCGAGUAGUCAGACAAGCAGGGAUCAGGAACCAACGGGGUAGUCAGACAGGCGGGGAUCAGGAACCGGCAGGAGAGUCAGACAGGCGAGGAUCAGGAACCAGAAGGAGAGUCAGACAGGGAUCAGGAACCGGGAGAAUAGUCAGACAGGCAGGGAUCAGAGAGCAGGCAGGAGCGGUGGUAGGUCAGGAGUAGAAUCGCGGGAAAGCACUGUGAAACACAAGAGACAAUCUGGCAGGGAAUGUUUGGGAGGAGAGGACUGAUAUAGGGGAAACACAGGUGAAGGUGGUUGGGUUAAUUGGGAGUGAUCAGGGUGGCAGGCAGGUGAAUGAGAAAACCAGGGGCGGAUCAUGACACAGGUUGCAUUAAUUAAUUGGUCGCACCUGCUCACUGAUGAGUGUGGAGGAGCAGGAACUUGGGAAAGGGGAUAGAGAAUGAAAGAAGAGCACAGUGCCGGUUGAGUUGAUCUGGGAAUUGCUGUGUUGUCGCUAACGCCGAGCUGCACUCAAGAUUAGGGGUGGGUGCCGUUCGCAUGCUAUUAGGGCUGCCGGCGGUGAAGACAGCUCAGCGGGAUAAAUGUAGAUAGGGCCGGGGAAUAUGAGUGCAUGGGCGGUGCGACUUUCCAGCAAGGGGAUCUCUGAUUCCGCUCCAUUCGGAGGCCUCACGAGUUCUGGACGGGCGUCUUCCUUAUCCCUUUUGCCUUCCAGCACCAACACUAGACCCCAGGGUAGGGUCUCGUAUCCCGGGAGAGUUAAGUUCUAUUUCAUCCUUACUGAC